This is a non-coding RNA of Pelobates cultripes (western spadefoot toad), 215 nucleotides long. The record is from the annotation of a GenBank genome assembly. NCBI's taxonomy places the organism in Eukaryota, Metazoa, Chordata, Amphibia, Anura, Pelobatidae.
GUGACUCUGCAAACUGAGACUGGUUGUUUGAAACAGAGGCAUGCAGGUGUGGUGUGUGGUAUUUACCGGGGGCUGAGAGAGAGGGGAAAAAAGGCAAGAUGGAAGAGUUAGUAAAAGCCUUGGUACAGGCUACUGCUACCCAGCAAGACACAAACCGUGUAACAGCGGCUCAGAUCAGUAGCCUCAUGGAGUCACAGCGACAGGCUGUUGCGGCC